This 460-nucleotide ribosomal RNA is filed under the name uncultured Pelotomaculum sp. Its description in RNAcentral is "bacterial SSU rRNA". It matches the Rfam family "Bacterial small subunit ribosomal RNA", at positions 925 to 1382 of the family's 1533-position model. The record is from RNAcentral. Lineage: Bacteria; Bacillati; Bacillota; Clostridia; Eubacteriales; Desulfotomaculaceae.
ACAAGCGGUGGAGCAUGUGGUUUAAGUUCGUACGCAACGCGAAGAACCUUACCAGGCUUGACAUCCCCUGACCGCGUAUGAAAGUACGUUUUCACCUUCGGGUGACAGGGAGACAGGUGGUGCAUGGUUGUCGUCAGCUCGUGUCGUGAGAUGUUGGGUUAAGUCCCGCAACGAGCGCAACCCCUACGUUUAGUUGCUAACGCGUGAAGGCGAGCACUCUAGACGAACUGCCGUUGACAAAACGGAGGAAGGUGGGAUGACGUCAAAUCAUCAUGCCCCUUAUGUUCUGGGCUACACACGUGCUACAAUGGCCGGUACAGACGGACGCAAAGCCGCGAGGUGGAGCAAAUCCGAAAAAGCCGGUCUCAGUUCGGAUUGCAGGCUGCAAUUCGCCUGCAUGAAGUCGGAAUCGCUAGUAAUCGCAGGUCAGCACGCCGCGGUGAAUACGUUCCCGGGCCUU